ACCGGUGGAGUAACAACGUACUGCGAACCUGCCCCUCGGCUGGGGGACGUAAGACCGGACGAAUACCGGUCUAAUACCGCGUAACAUCCUUGCGGGACAUCCCGUUAGGAUCAAGGAAGCGAUUCGGCCAGGGAUGGGCAUGCGGCGCAUUAGCUAGUCGGCGGGGUAACGGGCCCGACCGAGGCGGACGAUGCUAGGGGUUCGUGAGAGGAAGGUCCCCCACACUGGUAACUGAGACACGGACCAGACUCCUACGGGAGGCAGCAGUGAGGAAUAUUGGUCAAUGGGCGCGAGCCUGAACCAGCCAAGUCGCGUGAGGGAAGACGGUCCUAUGGAUUGUAAACCUCUUUUGCCGGGGAGCAAGCUGUGUCACGUGUGACACAGCUGAGAGUACCCGGAGAAAAAGCAUCGGCUAACUCCGUG
Molecule: ribosomal RNA, 423 nt
Filed under: uncultured Bacteroidota bacterium
Lineage: Bacteria; Pseudomonadati; Bacteroidota
Description: bacterial SSU rRNA
Rfam family: Bacterial small subunit ribosomal RNA
Source: RNAcentral